RNAcentral lists this long non-coding RNA (4491 nucleotides) under Brachypodium distachyon (stiff brome). Its description in RNAcentral is "long non-coding RNA (BDIS_LNC002869)". Lineage: Eukaryota; Viridiplantae; Streptophyta; Magnoliopsida; Poales; Poaceae. The record is from RNAcentral.
CCAUCAAGCCGUCAGACCAAAAAUAAUUAUAUUCGAAAAUAAGUUAUUUCUUUUAGUGUUUUCAGAAAUUAUAUUCGAAAAUAAGUUGAAAACCAUAUUUUAUUUGAAAAAUCUACUGGCGGCAGAUCGACAUGGGAUCCUACAUCCUGUGUUAGAGGAAAACCCACACGACGCACUUCCAAACCCGGAAGUUAGGAGUGAUAUCACAUCUAACUCUGAUCAGAGGUGUACUGCUUUUCCCAUAGCAUCACUUGGUCAAUCCUCGUCGGCGCACUAAUCAUAUGCACACGACUAGACCAAGGAACCAGAACCAGAACCAGCCCGUACACUACCUCUGUUUCGCCACCUUGCCUUACGUAGGCCCGCGGGUCGAGACCCCUGACCGGUAGGUCCCGCCCUAGGGUGUCUGCACCUACCUGGAUACAGUCAACUUCUCACCCGGGCAGAGGCAGCUACUUGGCGUGGUUCGGCUCAGCCUGUCCCAUUCCAGGUCUAUGGUCAGUACGGUCUGCGUCGCUUUUGAUGUAAUCGCCAGUUGGUUUGUCCUUAUAUGGUUUCCCUAUGUAGAAGAGCUCUGACUUUCCGCCAACCCUAUCCGGGUUGCUCCGAACCCUGGGCUCCCUACCCACCGAAUUACACUUAAGCCGUAACCCUGUCCGGGUCGGCCCACCUAGUACUGACCAUACUAGUGGAUACACCGGAUCCACUUACAUAUUUAUUUAUAAAUCUUAUUUUUGGGUGGCAUGCAAGAAUUUCGAAAUAAGCCGAGUUUCAUAAAUCAUGUUCGAAGACAUGUUCAAGAGAUGCGACUUGCCUGGUACCGCUCCGGUCAACUCAAAAAUACCGUCCGGGUAUCCUACUUGUCUGGAGUCAACUCCUAAUAUUUAAUUCAUACACAUGUUUAACAAAAGUUUCUAACCAACAAAGUAAUAAGGGAAAAUAAAAAUAAAAAGCAUACGUGCAACAACUUACACUAGUUUUCCUAUUCUAUAUCUAAGCCAAACAAAUGAGAGGAAUAAACAUGUGUGUAUGUGUGUGUGUAGCAGAAACCAGCAGCAAGUAGUACUAAUCCACCCAGCGUGUCAUCGAUUUGUGAAGACAAAAGAAAAAAAAUAAAAAAAAAUAAAGCACUGCGCAGACAAACUUCACCGACUGCAUCUAUUCUCCUCCUCCUCCUUUUUUUCUCUUGUUCCCUGCCUCUCUUUCCCCGUUCUCUCCCGAGCGAGCGCAGUAUGCCGCCACCAGCUCGAUCUCCCUGCUCCGGCCAUGUCUGGCGACUACGAGGCCAGCUCCGGGUUCCUCUCUCCUUCCUCUACUAGAUCCCCAACUUAAUUUCUACCAAUCAACAUCUACUCGUCCCAAAUUUGUAAACCUAGUUCUUGGGCUGCCAUGGCCGGCGCCGUCUACCUCGGCUCCGGCGAGGUCCACCACGUCGUCUCCCUGCUACUACGGUGCUCCUCCACCUACUGGUCGUCUACACGCUGAGCUACAAUACCAACAAGGAGGUGCGAUGGCGUCAAGGCGCCGUCACCGGCGACGGGGAAGCUGGGGCUACACUUCCUCCUCCCCAGCUCGCCGGCGUUGGGACCGGGCAGUCCGGCGUGCGCGGCCUACUGCUAAGUUCCCCUAACAGACAAGUUAAGUCCCUCUCUCUCCUUGACAGCAAGUUCUACUCUUCGUGGUUGCUUGUAGUAUUAGGUGGUCAAUUAAGGAAAAUUAAUAUGUGAGUGUUGCUUGAUUUACUUGAGCUGACUAUGUUCUGUUCGUUUUUGAAAAAGAUAAUACUUGUUAACAUGCAGAGGAUUUGAUUUAGUAACUCAACACCAUGUGCAUGAGAACAAAAAGAUGCUGAUAAACUAGGGUAAAAUAUAUCCUAACAAUGUACUGCCAUGUAUCUAAGUGCUAAAUUCUACUGAACAAGCAGAUGCACACAAGAGCAAACAAAAUAGUGAUUAAUCUAGCAAAGUGAUUAUGUGAUCUAGUUCUAAACAGUAGCAGGGUGAGGGUAUUAUUUUUCUCUUAAGCAUUGUGUUUUACUCCUAAUCACUUAAUGUGCUACUCAGACAUGCAUUUUAAUCCACAGUAAUGUGCCAGCAAUUUCAUUCAAGAGCAUGCAAAGGCAAAUUAAAGUGACAUUAUAUUUUACCUUCAAUACACAACAGUAGCACACAACAGGAAGAAGCAGCAGCACACAACAGCAAGCAGCAGCAAUGGAGCCAGGUGAAGGAAAGUGUUCGGUGGAAAGGUGGUGAAAAGGUCACAGGAGAAAAAAAAAAGUACUCCCUAUUUAUAGGAGGUAUUGUACUGUGUACCAUGAUGACAGGUGUUGGAAAAAAUGGAUGCAUGGUGCACAGGUGUGUGCUAGAAUGUGCCAAAUGGCAUUCAUACACUUGGGCCCACAAAAAGAUUUCUUUGCUGCUAAGAAAUUGUCCAAGGGCUGAAAUGUAAAAUUGAAAAUGACUUUUUUGAAAUUUUCGAAAUACUUGUUUGUAAUAAAAACUUUGUAUUAUUUUUGUGAUAUAAGGUGUUAGAAAGAUGUAAUUUGAGUUUUAGAAACCUGGGUUUCACACUCCCUUGGCUUAUCACAUGAAUUACAAGUUCCUGAAUUUGCAGUCCGUCCUGACGAUCUGGGAGGAGCUGGACUACUUCAAGGAAUACGCGGCCAGGCUCAGGGGCUUCCAGGGAGAGGAGAAGGCGGCACAGACGCUCGCGGAGGCGCUGUACGUGGUGAGCAUGGGCACCAACGACUUCCUGGAGAACUACUACGCCGUGCCGCAGGGCCGCGCCUCCCAGUACCCGACAGCGGCGGCGUACGGCCGGGACUACCUGCUGGGCGCGCCGGGGUCGUUCGUGCGCGCGCUGCACGCGCUCGGGGCGCGCAAGCUGGACCUUAACGGGCUCCCGCCCAUGGGCUGCCUCCCCAUGGAGAGCGCCCUCGUGGGCCUACGAUGACGUCGCCGUGGGCUUCAACGAUGGCCGACGCGGGGAAGUUCGCCUUCUAGGACGCUAUCCACCCCACGGAGCGCCUCCACCGCGCCCUGGCCGACGCCAAGAUGAACGCCACGCUCCACGUCUUCCUGUGAUGACGCUACGCUCGGAAGUUCGAUUUCACAUAAAUCACGCUCGCUCCGCCGGAGAUGCUUUCAGACGCCGAUUCACGGGGGAGCUAGAUCAUUUCACUGGUGUCAGUUGACACCAAUGAUUUUCGAUAAAACCUUAUAACUAUAGCACAAAAUUGAAAUUGGCACCAUCCAAAAUAGUUACAAACCAGUGCAAUUAAGCUCUUGACAUCAACAGUUGUUUAUCCUGGAUUCACCCUGCUCCGGUUCCUUCCCGCUACCUAUGAAAAGUCUUUGAUCCCUUUCCCUGAUUACCUCCCCCGCCCGGCCGCGUCACUAGAUCGGAAGAUUUAUAUGGUGGAAACAGAUGAGUUCAACUAUUUACGAAAAAGCUUACAAAUAUCUGGCAUUGAGCUUCCGACUAAGCAACUUUCCAUUCUCACACUACCACAUUUUCACUAAUACACCGCCAAAUUCGGCCAACACAACACUAACUAUAAAAGUAUCUACAGAUAUUACUCAAACUUACAAAAAAAUCUAAAACAAAUCAAGGACUAAACUGCAGGAACUUGCAGUACACCUCCUUGAUCGAUUCGAAACUCGAAACGGAGGUGAGAUGGUGAUGGGGAUCACCGUCAUUGAUUCGUGAAGCUGAAAGAAGAUGGAUGGGGAAGUGGCUCCUCAGACGUACGUUAAGUCAUGUGAGAGCAUGACCGGAUCUCCCUCCGACACAUGGGGUUAGCUAAGUAUAUUCUAGAGAGGAGAAAAGGGAUUAUAAAUUAGGAGAAUGUAGUUUUGCGUUGGUAUUGGGGUCAUGCUGGGUCACGGCGGAGUUUUAGGCCGGCGUCCCCUCAUACGGCCGUAAAAAGUGGCAGGCCGGACACAGGUCACGGCCGGAGAUGCUCUGAGGCGAUAGUCCAACCAUCUAUUUACACUUUCAAAUCUUACGGGCUCGACCUGUUUCUCCGUAAUGCCGAAGGCGAAGAAGUCCUAUGGUUCGGUGAAUGAGAAGGUAGUAGAGAGUUGACGCAUGUCAUCGAGUACUAGUACUCCCUGUAUGGCUGUAUCAUAGGCUGCCCAAUUCUAAAUUUCAAAAUUCAAUCUGCAAGCGAAGCGAAGCGAGCAAAGAAGCUGCUGACCUUGCAUGCAUGCCACGCUGUACCCCAUCUCACUCGCAUCACAUCUCCUCUAUUUAUUACCACAACGAUUCGCAGCUUCUCGCGCCCCGGCCCAUCACUCUCCCUUAUUACUACACCGCAUAAACCACCAGUCGGCCGGCGCUCGCCGCCGAGCUCGAGCUCCCCUCCCAUGGCGUCCGGCCAUUCCCACGUCCACACUGCGGCGCCGCUGCUGCAGCUGCUGCUUGUAACAACAAUAACGCUGAUGUGCGUUCCCAAGGGUAGUAGCAGCGGCAGCGCAACAGCGGAAGAGC